AUGCGUGCACACACGACACGCCGCGCGCUUGUUACCCUCGCCGUUCCGAUACGUCGGGCCCACAAAUCUAUCUCUCAUCCCAGGCGCUCGCGUGUCGACUGUGGAGUUCGGGAGAGAGGCCGAGGCGACCGCACCACUCUUGAGAACAUGACCAGCUUGUCCCUGGCACACGCGGUGAAAUACGCCCAGUGCCCCUGGUGCUCCUCUGUCGGCCUGCCGUACGGACGGGCCCGCAUAGCGACGACGCAUCCGACGGGCGCCGCAGGUCCACGCCACCCCACUUGCUCUCCGGCAUGUCAGAAUCUAUUUAUCACCGCCCGGCUACCUACCCAUCCCCCGCCCCCGCUGCCUCCGACCCGACGGCAACGAAACUUUAUCCCGUGGACCCGCACGUCAGCGUGGCGGGGCACGUUGCGUAUCGCGAGGUGGUUGUAG
RNAcentral lists this ribosomal RNA (435 nucleotides) under Triticum aestivum (bread wheat). Its description in RNAcentral is "partial small subunit ribosomal RNA". Lineage: Eukaryota; Viridiplantae; Streptophyta; Magnoliopsida; Poales; Poaceae. The record is from RNAcentral.